This 1236-nucleotide ribosomal RNA is filed under the name Phomopsis sp. MA154. RNAcentral's name for it is "eukaryotic LSU rRNA". It matches the Rfam family "Eukaryotic large subunit ribosomal RNA", at positions 111 to 1377 of the family's 3401-position model. The record is from RNAcentral. Lineage: Eukaryota; Fungi; Ascomycota; Sordariomycetes; Diaporthales; Diaporthaceae.
AAAUUUGAAAUCUGGCCUCGGCCCGAGUUGUAAUUUGCAGAGGAUGCUUCUGGCGCGGUGCCUUCCGAGUUCCCUGGAACGGGACGCCACAGAGGGUGAGAGCCCCGUAUGGUCGGACACCAAGCCUGUGUGAAGCUCCUUCGACGAGUCGAGUAGUUUGGGAAUGCUGCUCUAAAUGGGAGGUAAAUCUCUUCUAAAGCUAAAUACCGGCCAGAGACCGAUAGCGCACAAGUAGAGUGAUCGAAAGAUGAAAAGCACCUUGAAAAGGGGGUUAAAUAGUACGUGAAAUUGUUGAAAGGGAAGCACUUGUGACCAGACUUGGGCCGGGCGGCUCAUCAGGGGUUCUCCCCUGUGCACUCCGCCCGGCACAGGCCAGCAUCGGUUCUCGUGGGGGGAUAAGACCGUCGGGAACGUAGCACCCUCCGGGGGUGUGUUAUAGCCCGGCGGACGAUACCCCCGUGGGGACCGAGGUUCGCGCUCCGCAAGGAUGCUGGCGUAAUGGUCACCGGUGACCCGUCUUGAAACACGGACCAAGGAGUCGUCCAUUAGAGCGAGCGUUUGGGUGUAAAACCCGCACGCGUAAUGAAAGUGAACGCAGGUGAGAGCUUCGGCGCAUCAUCGACCGAUCCUGAUGUUCUCGGAAGGAUUUGAGUAAGAGUUUUAACGGACGGACCCGAAAGACAGUGAACUAUGCUUGUAUAGGGUGAAGCCAGAGGAAACUCUGGUGGAGGCUCGCAGCGGUUCUGACGUGCAAAUCGAUCGUCAAAUAUGAGCAUGGGGGCGAAAGACUAAUCGAACUGUCUAGUAGCUGGUUACCGCCGAAGUUUUCCCUCAGGAUAGCAGUGUUGAUCUUCAGUUUUAUGAGGUAAAGCGAAUGAUUAGGGACUCGGGGGCGCUAUAUAGCCUUCAUCCAUUCUCAAACUUUAAAUAUGUAAGAAGCCCUUGUUACUUCGUUGAACGUGGGCAUUCGAAUGUACCAACACUAGUGGGCCAUUUUUGGUAAGCAGAACUGGCGAUGCGGGAUGAACCGAACGCGGGGUUAAGGCGCCAGAGUGUACGCUCAUCAGACACCACAAAAGGCGUUAGUACAUCUUGACAGCAGGACGGUGGCCAUGGAAGUCGGAAUCCGCUAAGGACUGUGUAACAACUCACCUGCCGAAUGUACUAGCCCUGAAAAUGGAUGGCGCUCAAGCGUACCGCCCAUACCCCGCCCCCAGGGUAGAAACGAUGCCCUGG